Molecule: ribosomal RNA, 253 nt
Filed under: uncultured bacterium
Lineage: Bacteria
Description: partial 16S ribosomal RNA
Rfam family: Bacterial small subunit ribosomal RNA
Source: RNAcentral
UACGUAGGGUGCAAGCGUUGUCCGGAAUUAUUGGGCGUAAAGAGCGUGUAGGCGGCCCGAUUAGUCCGCUGUGAAAGUCCAGGGCUCAACCCUGGAAUGCCGGUGGAUACUGUCGGGCUAAAGUCCGGAAGGGGCGAGUGGAAUUCCUGGUGUAGCGGUGAAAUGCGCAGAUAUCAGGAGGAACACCAAUGGCGAAGGCAGCUCGCUGGGACGUGACUGACGCUGAGACGCGAAAGCGUGGGGAGCAAACAGG